This 273-nucleotide ribosomal RNA is filed under the name unidentified marine bacterioplankton. RNAcentral describes it as "partial 16S ribosomal RNA". It matches the Rfam family "Bacterial small subunit ribosomal RNA", at positions 40 to 339 of the family's 1533-position model. The record is from RNAcentral.
CGGCGUGCCUAACGCAUGCAAGUCGCACGGGGGCUUCGGCCCUAGUGGCGGACGGGUGAGUAACACGUAGGGACCUGCCCAGAGGUGGGGGACAACUCUCCGAAAGGGGAGCUAAUACCGCAUACGGUCUACGGACCAAAGCAGCAAUGCGCUUCUGGAGGGUCCUGCGGUGGAUUAGCUUGUUGGUGGGGUAACGGCCUACCAAGGCGACGAUCCAUAGCUGGUCUGAGAGGAUGAUCAGCCACACUGGGACUGAGACACGGCCCAGACUCC